ACGCUGGCGGCGUGCCUAAUACAUGCAAGUAGAACGCUGAAGGAGGAGCUUGCUUCUCCGGAUGAGUUGCGAACGGGUGAGUAACGCGUAGGUAACCUGCCUGGUAGCGGGGGAUAACUAUUGGAAACGAUAGCUAAUACCGCAUAAUAGUAGAUGUUGCAUGACAUUUACUUAAAAGGUGCAAUUGCAUCACUACCAGAUGGACCUGCGUUGUAUUAGCUAGUUGGUGGGGUAACGGCUCACCAAGGCGACGAUACAUAGCCGAUCUGAGAGGGUGAUCGGCCACACUGGGACUGAGACACGGCCCUGACUCCUACGGGAGGCAGCAGUAGGGAAUCUUCGGCAAUGGACGGAAGUCUGACCGAGCAACGCCGCGUGAGUGAAGAAGGUUUUCGGAUCGUAAAGCUCUGUUGUAAGAGAAGAACGAGUGUGAGAGUGGAAAGUUCACACUGUGACGGUAUCUUACCAGAAAGGGACGGCUAACUACGUGCCAGCAGCCGCGGUAAUACGUAGGUCCCGAGCGUUGUCCGGAUUUAUUGGGCGUAAAGCGAGCGCAGGCGGUUAGAUAAGUCUGAAGUUAAAGGCUGUGGCUUAACCAUAGUACGCUUUGGAAACUGUUUAACUUGAGUGCAAGAGGGGAGAGUGGAAUUCCAUGUGUAGCGGUGAAAUGCGUAGAUAUAUGGAGGAACACCGGUGGCGAAAGCGGCUCUCUGGCUUGUAACUGACGCUGAGGCUCGAAAGCGUGGGGAGCAAACAGGAUUAGAUACCCUGGUAGUCCACGCCGUAAACGAUGAGUGCUAGGUGUUAGACCCUUUCCGGGGUUUAGUGCCGCAGCUAACGCAUUAAGCACUCCGCCUGGGGAGUACGACCGCAAGGUUGAAACUCAAAGGAAUUGACGGGGGC
This 903-nucleotide ribosomal RNA is filed under the name uncultured bacterium. RNAcentral's name for it is "bacterial SSU rRNA". It matches the Rfam family "Bacterial small subunit ribosomal RNA", at positions 33 to 920 of the family's 1533-position model. The record is from RNAcentral.